UAACACAUGCAAGUCGAGGGGCAGCAUGGUCUUAGCUUGCUAAGGCUGAUGGCGACCGGCGCACGGGUGAGUAACACGUAUCCAACCUGCCGUCUACUCUUGGCCAGCCUUCUGAAAGGAAGAUUAAUCCAGGAUGGCAUCAUGAGUUCACAUGUCCGCAUGAUUAAAGGUAUUUUCCGGUAGACGAUGGGGAUGCGUUCCAUUAGAUAGUAGGCGGGGUAACGGCCCACCUAGUCAACGAUGGAUAGGGGUUCUGAGAGGAAGGUCCCCCACAUUGGAACUGAGACACGGUCCAAACUCCUACGGGAGGCAGCAGUGAGGGAUAUUGGUCAAUGGGCGAUGGCCUGAACCAGCCAAGUAGCGUGAAGGAUGACUGCCCUAUGGGUUGUAAACUUCUUUUAUAAAGGAAUAAAGUCGGGUAUGCAUACCCGUUUGCAUGUACUUUAUGAAUAAGGAUCGGCUAACUCCGUGCCAGCAGCCGCGGUAAUACGGAGGAUCCGAGCGUUAUCCGGAUUUAUUGGGUUUAAAGGGAGCGUAGAUGGAUGUUUAAGUCAGUUGUGAAAGUUUGCGGCUCAACCGUAAAAUUGCAGUUGAUACUGGAUGUCUUGAGUGCAGUUGAGGCAGGCGGAAUUCGUGGUGUAGCGGUGAAAUGCUUAGAUAUCACGAAGAACUCCGAUUGCGAAGGCAGCCU
This 691-nucleotide ribosomal RNA is filed under the name uncultured Bacteroidales bacterium. RNAcentral describes it as "bacterial SSU rRNA". It matches the Rfam family "Bacterial small subunit ribosomal RNA", at positions 49 to 727 of the family's 1533-position model. Lineage: Bacteria; Pseudomonadati; Bacteroidota; Bacteroidia; Bacteroidales. The record is from RNAcentral.